AGGACACUGAGAGGUAGAGAAAGGUGGUGGGUUUUGUUGUCUUUGAAGCUGGGGAAGAUCUUAGAGAGAGAGAGAGGAAAAAAAAAAAAAAAGGCAGUCUAAGGUAGAGGAAAACAAACAAGAACUAAACCUGUCUCUGACUUCAGCUCCAUUUUUGGGGGUUUUUGUUUGGUUUUGUUAAGGCUUUGGAAAAGUGUGAAAAGCAGGAUUACUGCCUCCCAAACACAGUAAUUGUGAAGACCAGACAUCCCUCUGACCAGGAGCAGCCACACGUUUAAGUGUGUCAGUGUCAGGAGCCCUGCAUUCAGCACAGGCCCAGGGGUGCUUGUAGAGCAUCCUCCCCUCCCUGACAGAUCCAAGUGAGGAGGCUGAGGUAAAGCCCCAAAGCAUCAGGUGAAUGUGACACUGUGCUUAGCGAAGAGGGCAAGAGGAAAAUGUUUGAUGUCCUGUUGGUCCACUGAAAGUUAAAAUUGGCAGCGAAGACAUCAAAGCAGGUGUGAGGAUGCUUCUGGAAGAUUUGCCAAGGACUCCUGUGCUCCUGUCUGAUGCUGGGAGCCAGGGCAGGGGAGAGGCUGCAAGCACAACCUGUUUAAUAUUCUCUCUGUCCCUCUGAUCUCCCCCCUACCCCGCAGAAGCAACACAUCCCCUGUUUCUGCAGAGCUUGUCCUGAGCAAUAGCAGCAUCUGUCAGGGGUUAUGGUGGCAUUAGCCUCAUGGAGCUGGGAGUUAGCAGUGCUUGGCAGAGUGACAGUUCUGCUGUACCUUACAUAAAUCUGUAUCCUGCAUAAAUCUGUCCCUGCCUGCUCUGCCAAGGUGUGUGGUCACAAUUUGUCUGAUUCUUCCUGCUGUCCAUGAGGCUUUUGAGUUUCUUAGAAGAUUGCAUCUGCUUGAGACGCUUCUCCUUCAUCUGUCUUCACACCUCCCCACUCCAUGAAGUCCUUUUCACCUGUAUCUUUUCCACCAAGUCCUAAAAGGGACAUAUCUUAAAUAUUUUAAAUAUCUUAUUUUCAAUUAAGUUCCCAUCACCUGCUCCUCAAAGGAGCUGCAGAAAUCUCCUUGUAUUCCUCUGGAAUUGAACUCCUUGAGCCUCUCUAUGGCUUUGGCACAAAACCCCAGCAGCCUCCUCCUGCUGAGUCCUGCUCUGGGCUGUGCCUGAUCCUGGGUAACUACCUUGCUCAUCAGUACUUCAUGGUAUUUUAUUGUCUCUCAUCUGCUUUUUCUGAGGCCAUAAAGUAAUAACUACGUCAGUUCUUCGCUGUCUUUCAGUGUCUAAGGAAAUUCUUCAGGAAAACGCAACUUCAAUUCAACAAAAUAUCAUUAUGUCAUCAUACUUGUUCCAUGUGUUUUCAAACAAAGCACCUAAAAAGAAAAUGUUGACCCCUUGAAAGCAUCUCUGGUCAUGUGAGUCUUGGCCUGAGCACUCUCUCAUCCCCAGCUCUGCUCGGGGACCUGCUGUUGUGACCUGCGGGGAAGGUCCAUCAUCUCCUGUGUCACUUUGUCACACCCACUUGUCACCACCUGUGUUAAGGCUGUAACAAAGCCUUAACAUUUAUGUAUAACAUUUCUGUUGGUCUGCAGGGCCAGGUAACUUGGUAGGUGUUGCCCAGGAAAAUAAAGCAGCUCCAGAGGAGCGUGUGAUCUGUCAGGUGAACUCAUUGCACCUCUCAGUGAGUCUCCACCGAGAUGGAUGUCCUCAGGUGCUGAGAUGGAAGUACUUGAGCAUAAGUGCACUUAGUCCUGGUGUUAUUUAUGAUUGUUUGGCGUCUUGUGCUGGUGAGCAGCGAAGGUGGCACACUCUUCUCGCACAGGUUGUGCAGGGGAGAAAGAAAUAAUCCCCCACUGUGUUAUAGCACACAUCCUGGGCUCUUAAAAUGGGAGUUUCUGUUUUGUCUCCAAGCCCUUCCUCUUUUGUAGGCAGACAUAAGAGCUGUAACACCGAGUGAAUGGUAUGUACUAAGUCUAUACAAUGGCUCUUUAAAAAAAAAUAAUUACAUAUGGUACAAGAGGGAGAGGAGGCCACUCCAUUCCCGUAAAUGGCCACUUAAAACGUGGAGAAUAAAUAACUGCAAUAAAUAACCCGGCACAGCUGAGCUUUAGCAUUUGGGAGCAAAUCAGAGCUCUUUGCCCAUUGUCCGCAGAGAUGCCUGGGAAAUGGGGUUGGAAGAAGAGAUUCCGCUCAGAGUUUGGG
Molecule: RNA transcript, 2187 nt
Organism: Hirundo rustica (Barn swallow)
Lineage: Eukaryota; Metazoa; Chordata; Aves; Passeriformes; Hirundinidae
Gene: TAFA1
Gene name: TAFA chemokine like family member 1
Exons: 3
Source: RefSeq, a predicted model, not a curated record